This 1062-nucleotide long non-coding RNA is filed under the name Salvia miltiorrhiza (redroot sage). RNAcentral's name for it is "long non-coding RNA (SMIL_LNC000676)". The record is from RNAcentral. Lineage: Eukaryota; Viridiplantae; Streptophyta; Magnoliopsida; Lamiales; Lamiaceae.
AUCGUUAGGGGCUUGGCUAAAACAUUAUCAGAGUUUGCAACGGAAGGCGUAACUGAAAUAAUCAGUGUUUACAGCGGAAUGCAUAACUGAGAUACAUGUAUGAAGACAUGUAUCCUUUCUGAGCCUACUUUAAGUUCGACAAAAACUCCACUCAGCAACAACACUUCAUCGCCCAUCACAGCUCAACCUGCACAAACAUAAACAUCGAAGGGCUAAGUACAAGAGUACUUAGUGGGCAGUUGCCAAGCAUAUAACAUAACAUCAUUAACAAUUUCACAAUAUCGCAUAAGAGGCAUGAGUUUCUUUCAUAUCCUUUGCUCAUUAAACAUUUCCAAAUUCAUAAAUAGCAUAAGGGCAUUCUUCAUCAUCAAUCUUCAUUAACAAACAUCGUGUCGUGGAGAAGGCCUUCCCCAACGAACACGGGCAUCGCGCCGUGAGGGGGAGCCUCCCUCAGCGGUCACGGCAUCGUACUAUUGAGGGAGGCCUCCCCCAAUAGACGCUGUAACACUGGCAUACUGGCAUACUGGCAUACUGGCAUCGCGCCGCGAGAGAGGCCUCUCUCAGCGGACACGGGCAUCGCGCCGUGAGGAAGGCCCUCCUCAGCGGACACGGCAUCGUACUGUUGAGGGAGGCCUCCCCCAACAGACGCAAGCAUCAAACAUAAGCAUAAAUUUAUCAGCGUAAAGCAUUCAAGCGUAAAUAAUAUAAACAGCAUAGCGUAAAUCAUUUAACGUGCAGCAUAAUAAAGCUUAACUCAUUUAAGCGUAAUAAAGCAUAUCAUACUUGAAGAUCCAAUUUGCAUUUUAAAGCAUAACACUUGCAUAGCAUUUUAUUUACGCGUAAGAAAUUGCCCACCUGAUAGCAAAGUUUUGCUAAGGUACUCUAACUCCUUGUGUAGUUCUUACUCUCGCGCUUGACCUGUAAUUGCUUGUUGUUGGUGGCUGUUUGUUGCUAUUGAAUUUAAUGAGGAGAUAGCUGUUCGAAGUUUGGCAGCAGGAAUCAACGUACUUACUCUGAAUUCUUGAAGAAUGAAUGAUUAGUAUGUUGGCUGAAUGAUAAAGC